Molecule: ribosomal RNA, 744 nt
Filed under: uncultured bacterium
Lineage: Bacteria
Description: bacterial SSU rRNA
Rfam family: Bacterial small subunit ribosomal RNA
Source: RNAcentral
CAGUCGACGAGAGGACAUGGGAAGCUUGCUUCCUAUGAAAUCGAGUGGCAAACGGGUGAGUAACGCGUAAACAACCUGCCCUUCGGAUGGGGAUAACAGCCGGAAACGGCUGCUAAUACCGAAUACGAUCUUUUCGUCGCAUGACGGAAAGAAGAAAGGAUGGCCUCUAUACAAAGCUAUCGCCGAAGGAGGGGUUUGCGUCUGAUUAGCUGGUUGGAGGGGUAACGGCCCAACAAGGCGAUGAUCAGUAGCCGGUCUGAGAGGAUGAACGGCCACAUUGGGACUGAGACACGGCCCAGACUCCUACGGGAGGCAGCAGUGGGGAAUCUUCCGCAAUGGACGAAAGUCUGACGGAGCAACGCCGCGUGAGUGAAGAAGGUCUUCGGAUUGUAAAACUCUGUUAUACGGGACGAAAAAGGCGGAUGCCAACAGUAUCCGUCCGUGACGGUACCGUAAGAGAAAGCCACGGCUAACUACGUGCCAGCAGCCGCGGUAAUACGUAGGUGGCAAGCGUUGUCCGGAAUUAUUGGGCGUAAAGGGCGCGCAGGCGGUUCGGUAAGUCUGUCUUAAAAGUGCGGGGCUUAACCCCGUGAGGGGACGGAAACUGUCGAACUUGAGUGUCGGAGAGGAAAGCGGAAUUCCUAGUGUAGCGGUGAAAUGCGUAGAUAUUAGGAGGAACACCGGUGGCGAAAGCGGCUUUCUGGACGACAACUGACGCUGAGGCNNNAAAGCGUGGGGAGCAAA